UACGUAGGGUGCUAGCGUUGUUCGGAAUCAUUGGGCGUAAAGCGCGUGUAGGCGGUUAGUUAAGUCGGGUGUGAAAUCCCUGGGCUCAACCGAGGAAGUGCAUCCGAAACUAACUAGCUAGAGAAUGGUAGAGGAAGGUGGAAUUCCGUGUGUAGAGGUGAAAUUCGUAGAUAUACGGAGGGAUACCGGUGGCGAAGGCGGCCUUCUGGACCAUUUCUGACGCUGAGACGCGAAAGCGUGGGGAGCAAACAGG
Molecule: ribosomal RNA, 253 nt
Filed under: uncultured bacterium
Lineage: Bacteria
Description: partial 16S ribosomal RNA
Rfam family: Bacterial small subunit ribosomal RNA
Source: RNAcentral